GAUGAACGCUGGCGGCGUGCCUAAUACAUGCAAGUCGAGCGAACAGACGAGGAGCUUGCUCCUCUGACGUUAGCGGCGGACGGGUGAGUAACACGUGGAUAACCUACCUAUAAGACUGGGAUAACUUCGGGAAACCGGAGCUAAUACCGGAUAAUAUAUUGAACCGCAUGGUUCAAUAGUGAAAGACGGAUUUGCUGUCACUUAUAGAUGGAUCCGCGCCGCAUUAGCUAGUUGGUAAGGUAACGGCUUACCAAGGCGACGAUGCGUAGCCGACCUGAGAGGGUGAUCGGCCACACUGGAACUGAGACACGGUCCAGACUCCUACGGGAGGCAGCAGUAGGGAAUCUUCCGCAAUGGGCGAAAGCCUGACGGAGCAACGCCGCGUGAGUGAUGAAGGUCUUCGGAUCGUAAAACUCUGUUAUUAGGGAAGAACAAAUGUGUAAGUAACUAUGCACGUCUUGACGGUACCUAAUCAGAAAGCCACGGCUAACUACGUG
Molecule: ribosomal RNA, 497 nt
Filed under: uncultured bacterium
Lineage: Bacteria
Description: partial 16S ribosomal RNA
Rfam family: Bacterial small subunit ribosomal RNA
Source: RNAcentral